RNAcentral lists this long non-coding RNA (557 nucleotides) under Triticum aestivum (bread wheat). RNAcentral's name for it is "long non-coding RNA (TAES_LNC000781)". Lineage: Eukaryota; Viridiplantae; Streptophyta; Magnoliopsida; Poales; Poaceae. The record is from RNAcentral.
UUUAGUUGCAUAAUGAGAUGAGAUGAGAUGAGAUGAAUAGAUAGAUGAAUUUUAGUUGCAUAAUGAGAUGAGAUGUAUGUGCUCUGUUUUUUUAGAUGAGUUGAGAUGUUUAUGAUAUGUUUUGUGGAAAUGUGCUCUGUUUUUUUAGAUGAUUAGAUAGAUAGAUGGAUGAAAUGUAAUAACUCAAUGUGAUAGAUAGAUGUCUUGUGGAGAUGAGAUGAGAUGGAAGAGAAUAUUUUUCAUGUUUUUUUAGAUAGAGAAACAAAUGUUAAAUUUUGCAUAUGCAUGAUGACUUAAAUUUUGAAAUGAAUAUGUGAAGCUCCCAUUUUUUGGAAAUGAAAAUGUGAAGGUAGUAUUUUUGUUAAAUGAAAAUGUGAAGCAAGUCUUUUUUUGAAAUGAAAAUGUGAAGGUAGUAUUUUUGUUAAAUGAAAAUGUGAAGCAAGUCUUUUUUUGAAAUAAAAAUGUGAAGGUAGUAUUUUUAUUCAUAGAAUAUUUUUUUGUUCAUAGCAUUUUUUGGUCCAUGUAUGUGUAUGGAUGGAUGGAUGGAUGGAUGGAUG